This 64-nucleotide transfer RNA is filed under the name Velinus nodipes. RNAcentral's name for it is "tRNA-Cys". Lineage: Eukaryota; Metazoa; Arthropoda; Insecta; Hemiptera; Reduviidae. The record is from RNAcentral.
GGCUUUAUAGUCAAUAUAUGAUAUCAGACUGCAAUUCUGAAGUAGUAUUAUCAUACUAAAGCUU